Molecule: ribosomal RNA, 196 nt
Filed under: uncultured bacterium
Lineage: Bacteria
Description: partial 16S ribosomal RNA
Rfam family: Bacterial small subunit ribosomal RNA
Source: RNAcentral
CUGCAACUCGCCUGCGUGAAGUCGGAAUUGCUAGUAAUCGCAGAUCAGCAUGCUGCGGUGAAUACGUUCCCGGGCCUUGUACACACCGCCCGUCACACCAUGGGAGUCGGAAAUGCCCGAAGUCGGUGACUUAACCGAAAGGAGAGAGCCGCCGAAGGCAGGUCUGAUAACUGGGGUGAAGUCGUAACAAGGUAGC